Molecule: ribosomal RNA, 1474 nt
Filed under: Mesoplasma florum W37
Lineage: Bacteria; Bacillati; Mycoplasmatota; Mollicutes; Entomoplasmatales; Entomoplasmataceae
Description: bacterial SSU rRNA
Rfam family: Bacterial small subunit ribosomal RNA
Source: RNAcentral
UUUAAAAUGAGAGUUUGAUCCUGGCUCAGGAUAAACGCUGGCGGCAUGCCUAAUACAUGCAAGUCGAACGGAGGUGCUUGCACCUCAGUGGCGAACGGGUGAGUAACACGUAUCUAAUCUACCUUCUAGCGGGGGAUAACUUUUGGAAACGAAAGGUAAUACCGCAUGUGGAUGUUAUUAUCGCAUGAGAAAACAUUCAAAGAUCCGUUUGGAUCACUAGAAGAUGAGGAUGCGGCGUAUUAGCUAGUAGGCGGGGUAAAGGCCCACCUAGGCGAUGAUACGUAGCCGAACUGAGAGGUUGAUCGGCCACAUUGGGACUGAGAUACGGCCCAGACUCCUACGGGAGGCAGCAGUAGGGAAUUUUUCACAAUGGACGAAAGUCUGAUGAAGCAAUGCCGCGUGAGUGAUGACGGCCUUCGGGUUGUAAAGCUCUGUUGUAAGGGAAGAAAACAUAGGAGAGGAAAUGCUCUUAUCUUGACGGUACCUUACCAGAAAGCCACGGCUAACUAUGUGCCAGCAGCCGCGGUAAUACAUAGGUGGCAAGCGUUAUCCGGAUUUAUUGGGCGUAUAGGGUGCGUAGGCGGUUUCGCAAGUUUGAGGUUAAAGCCCGGAGCUCAACUCCGGUUCGCCUUGAAAACUGCGGGACUAGAAUAUCAGAGAGGUAAGCGGAAUUCCAUGUGUAGCGGUAAAAUGCGUAGAUAUAUGGAAGAACACCAGUGGCGAAAGCGGCUUACUGGCUGAUUAUUGACGCUGAGGCACGAAAGCGUGGGGAGCAAAUAGGAUUAGAUACCCUAGUAGUCCACGCCGUAAACGUUGAGUACUAAGUAUUGGGGAUUACCUCAGUGCUGCAGCUAACGCAUUAAGUACUCCGCCUGAGUAGUAUGCUCGCAAGAGUGAAACUCAAAGGAAUUGACGGGGACCCGCACAAGUGGUGGAGCAUGUGGUUUAAUUCGAAGCAACACGAAGAACCUUACCAGGGCUUGACAUACAGUGCAAAGCUACAGAGAUGUAGUGGAGGUUAACAUUGAUACAGGUGGUGCAUGGUUGUCGUCAGUUCGUGCCGUGAGGUGUUGGGUUAAGUCCCGCAACGAACGCAACCCUUGUCGUUAGUUACUAACAUUAAGUUGAGGACUCUAACGAGACUGCUAGUGUAAGCUAGAGGAAGGUGGGGAUGACGUCAAAUCAUCAUGCCCCUUAUGUCCUGGGCUACACACGUGCUACAAUGGCCGAUACAAAGAGUCGCAAUCUCGUGAGGGGGAGCUAAUCUCAAAAAGUCGGUCUCAGUUCGGAUUGAAGUCUGCAACUCGACUUCAUGAAGCCGGAAUCACUAGUAAUCGCGAAUCAGCUAUGUCGCGGUGAAUACGUUCUCGGGUCUUGUACACACCGCCCGUCAAACCACGAGAGUUGGUAAUACCAGAAGUACGUUUCCUAACCGUAAGGAAGGCGCGUCCCAAGGUAGGACUAGCGAUUGGGG